GACAAGAUGGCCGAGUGGUCUAAGGUCCGUUGACCUCGUGUUCCAGUACGCAUUUGCGUGCGCGAGUUCGAACCUCGCUCUUGUCA
Molecule: transfer RNA, 86 nt
Filed under: Aspergillus terreus NIH2624
Lineage: Eukaryota; Fungi; Ascomycota; Eurotiomycetes; Eurotiales; Aspergillaceae
Description: tRNA-Thr (CGT) (tRNA-Thr-CGT-3-1)
Rfam family: tRNA
About the family: Transfer RNA (tRNA) molecules are approximately 80 nucleotides in length.
Source: RNAcentral